RNAcentral lists this ribosomal RNA (253 nucleotides) under uncultured bacterium. RNAcentral describes it as "partial 16S ribosomal RNA". It matches the Rfam family "Bacterial small subunit ribosomal RNA", at positions 524 to 776 of the family's 1533-position model. The record is from RNAcentral.
UACGAGGGGGGCGAGCGUUGUUCGGAAUUAUUGGGCGUAAAGGGCGCGUAGGCGGUGCGGUAAGUCACCUGUGAAACCUCUGGGCUUAACUCAGAGCCUGCAGGCGAAACUGCCGUGCUGGAGUGUGGGAGAGGUGCGUGGAAUUCCCGGUGUAGCGGUGAAAUGCGUAGAUAUCGUAAGGAAGACCAGUGGCGAAGGCGGGUCUCUGGACAGUUCCUGACGCUGAAGCACGAAGGCCAGGGGAGCAAACGGG